CAUGCAGGCGGUUAGACAAGUCAGAUGUGAAAUCCCCGCGCUUAACGUGGGCAUUGCAUUUGAAACUGUUUAGCUAGAGUUCUGUAGAGGGGGGUAGAAUUCCAGGUGUAGCGGUUAAAUGCGUAGAUAUUAGAAGGAACACCAGUGGCGAAGGCGGUUUGCUGGGCCAUUACUGACGCUGAGGCACGAAAGCGUGGGGAGCAAAUAGGAUUAGAUACCCGUGUA
RNAcentral lists this ribosomal RNA (225 nucleotides) under uncultured Thorsellia sp. RNAcentral describes it as "partial 16S ribosomal RNA". It matches the Rfam family "Bacterial small subunit ribosomal RNA", at positions 568 to 792 of the family's 1533-position model. The record is from RNAcentral. Lineage: Bacteria; Pseudomonadati; Pseudomonadota; Gammaproteobacteria; Enterobacterales; Thorselliaceae.